UUCCUUAUCCUUUAGUCAUUAGGAGGAAUGGUGCGUGGGUUGCCUUAGUUGCACCUUCGGAGGAUCAUUGUUGAUUACUGCCAAGCAGAGCGACCCGUGGCCAUGUGGGAAUAAAUCGUCGGUGGUGGGGCGCCCGAUGCGGGGCGUGCCCUCGAUCGUUGACCGAGCCGGCACCUCGUAUCUUGUUUCGGGAUCGGCAUCGGGCGUGCCGGGUCAGGUUUGGCACAAGAACGAGCCCCGGCGGGGAUCGCGCCAAGGACCAGUAACUCAGCGUGCGGUGCCUGGCCGCCGGACGCCCGGCGAGCGAGGGGGCGACCCGUCUUAUCUGAACGACUCUCGGCAAUGGAUAUCUCGUCUCUCGCAUCGAUGAAGUGCGUAGCUAAAUGCGAUACUUGGUGUGAAUUGCAGAAUCCCGUGAACCAUCGAGUCUUUGAACGCAAGUUGCGCCCGAAGCCUCUAGGCCGAGGGCACGUCUGCCUGGGCGUCACGCAUAGGGUCGCCCCCAACCAAGCCGCGGUGCCUGUGCGCGCUGGGUUGGGGCGGAGAGUGGCCUCCCGCGCGUUGCCGCGCGGCUGGCCUAAAACUGGAGCUCGGCGGCCGCGCCACGACGUUCGGUGGUCGACAAGGCGAAGGCCAAGGCUGCAUCGCGUCUUGCCCGGCGCGUCGCCCGCGAAGCUCGCACGACCCCGCCGCGCCGUCCGUACGGCACCAACGCAGCGACCCCAGGUCAGGUUGGUUUAUUCGCUGAGUUUAAGCAUAUCAAUAGACGAAGGAA
This 775-nucleotide ribosomal RNA is filed under the name Nepenthes khasiana. RNAcentral's name for it is "eukaryotic LSU rRNA". The stretch from base 332 to 487 matches the Rfam family "5.8S ribosomal RNA". The record is from RNAcentral. Lineage: Eukaryota; Viridiplantae; Streptophyta; Magnoliopsida; Caryophyllales; Nepenthaceae.